This 460-nucleotide ribosomal RNA is filed under the name uncultured bacterium. RNAcentral's name for it is "partial 16S ribosomal RNA". It matches the Rfam family "Bacterial small subunit ribosomal RNA", at positions 338 to 795 of the family's 1533-position model. The record is from RNAcentral.
CCUACGGGGGGCAGCAGUGAGGAAUAUUGGUCAAUGGACGAGAGUCUGAACCAGCCAAGUAGCGUGAAGGAUGACUGCCCUAUGGGUUGUAAACUUCUUUUAUAUGGGAAUAAAACGUUCCACGUGUGGGAUUUUGUAUGUACCAUAUGAAUAAGGAUCGGCUAACUCCGUGCCAGCAGCCGCGGUAAUACGGAGGAUCCGAGCGUUAUCCGGAUUUAUUGGGUUUAAAGGGAGCGUAGGUGGAUUGUUAAGUCAGUUGUGAAAGUUUGCGGCUCAACCGUAAAAUUGCAGUUGAAACUGGCAGUCUUGAGUACAGUAGAGGUGUGCGGAAUGCGUGGUGUAGCGGUGAAAUGCUUAGAUAUCACGAAGAACUCCGAUUGCGAAGGCAGUUCACUGGACUGCAACUGACACUGAGGCUCGAAAGUGUGGGUAUCAAACAGGAUUAGAUACCCGUGUAGUC